GAUCAGCCAAGAUACUGUUCCCUCCUGAGAGCGUUGCUGUUGAUUCUUGGAUUCCUGCACAGCUGCAAAUAAUCAGAUCAUCUGGAGGAGUAUAUGACGACGGCGCUGCCGACACUUCAGAUCCAGAGUGUUAGCCAGUAUUUGGUUAUUCCUCGUGAUGCUUUGGACCUACUGGUUGCCAGAGUUCCACUGACACCUCCGCAGUAAACCAAUCCUCUUUGUAUUACCCUGUUGUCAGUCUCACUUGCUCCUCGCCUCCUGUGAUAUUUUGUGUUUACAAUAAACUUAUUUAACUGA
This is a non-coding RNA of Poecilia reticulata (guppy), 297 nucleotides long. The record is from RefSeq and is a predicted model, not a curated record. Lineage: Eukaryota; Metazoa; Chordata; Actinopteri; Cyprinodontiformes; Poeciliidae.